Molecule: long non-coding RNA, 4683 nt
Organism: Misgurnus anguillicaudatus (oriental weatherfish)
Lineage: Eukaryota; Metazoa; Chordata; Actinopteri; Cypriniformes; Cobitidae
Source: RefSeq, a predicted model, not a curated record
UGGGUGGUAUAGUGCAGGUGCAUCAGCACAGUUACAUUGAAAACCUACAACCAGUUCACUUACAGGCAGCACGAGCUGUACAGAGAGAGGCUCCACUAAACGAGAAAGUAAAAUAACAACUCCGGUCCAAAUUGGACAGAUUUUGUGAGUUGCUAAACAAACAAGACCAAAUGUAAUGUUUGACACAUGUAGCCUAGCAUCCAACAUUAAGAAUGAUACUGUUCAGUCCAUACAUGAAAUGAAAGUCACACUUAAGUUCCAACACUUGGGAAACAGUGAAGAUUUAAGUUUAGUGGCUUUCAGUGAUGCCUCACUAGGCAAUCUUCAGGAUGGAGGUACACAGGAAGGGGCUUUAAUUGUCCUCAUGGAAAAAACAGUAAAGUGUUCCCCUUUGUUUUGGCAAUCUAAGAAAAUCAAACGUGUGGUAAGAAGCACGCUGGCAGGAGAAACCCUUGCGAUUGUAGCAGCACUACCCAGACGGGUUGAAUGAUAAGUGCUUUAAUUAGAGACAGGUGUGCUAUGGGUGUAGGUGUGCAUAAAAGGAAGGUUUCCAGCAUUGUUUGAGGCUGACGGGUGGUUGCUGCUGUGACUUUGGACGUUGAAUGCCUAAUGUUUUCUUAGUGGAUUUUUUGAGCCGUUUGGGACCAGCAUUUGAUUGUGGACUUGCUGCAUUUUGGUAUACAUGCCAUGUGGAGUUUAUCCAUCACUGGAUGUGUCAGCAGUGCCGACUCUCUAAUAAUCAGCUUAAAGCACUCCGGAGGUAUAUGCCCAUAUGACACUGGGUAGCGGAUUUGGAUGGUGGCCCAGCUUCCCCUUCUUGGUGUUUUAUUAUUAUUUUUCUAAUUUUUUUGUUUAAGUAUCUGCCUAGCGGCUUACUUCUGUGACACCUGGUCCACCCCUUCAUUUGUGCUGUCCGCAUUAAGUGGCCUGUUCCUGGGAAUAACUGUGGGACAGGGUAUUAGUUUUUCUCAGUCGCUUUGGUGCAUUUCUCACAUCACUAUUUACAUUCGCACAACAGUUAGUUCAACCUCCACAACAUUUAGUCAUUUGUGCACGUCAUAGUAGCAGUUUCUCAUUCCUUCGAACAAAUUGCAAAUGCUUUUGGACAUGCAUCAAUUGCUUUCAUACAAUUCUCUGCUGUUUUAUAACAUUAUCAUUUGUUUGUCAUGUCAGUCAAAAUUAACUAUACUUGUGAAUGCUGAAUAGUCAUUCCAUGUAAAACUAAUAGUCCUUAUUUCAUUGCUUCAGUCAUUACAUACAAAAAUUUUCAAGUUUUUUUCAAGUCUUUUUUAUCCGAAAAGUCUCCUAAAUUGAACAAUUUUUGAGAUGAUGUGGCCAGACAGAGGAAUGUCUGGAUGUACAAGAAUGAUUACAGUACUAUGUCUGUUGUAUGUUCAGUUCCAAUAUGUACUGCAAUGUUUUUUACAGUUGUGCACAGCCAAAGUUUGUUUGUUGUAAAUAAGGAUGUAUUUUUUUCUUUUGCACAAUACUAUGAACAGAUUAGAAUUGCAAAUAGGGAUGGGACGAUUACCGGUUUCACGAUUAACCAUGAUAAAAUGUCCUGACGGUUAGUAUUAUCGUUUAAAAUGUAAUUAUCAUUAUAACCGUGUUUGAUUACCGUGAUUUUGAAAACUCGCGGUAAAUCCUGUCCAGCCAGAAUCAGCUUGACGCAGGCGCUCGCAUGCAACAUUAGCUUUUGUGCGAGAAGGCGUGGCGGAUGCAGUAACAGGUGCACUGUGUUUUAAUGCGUUGCUUAUGUGUGCAUUUGUUUUUAUUUAAGCUACUGUUCAUUAAAACAGGUUCAUACAUUUCAGGGCUCCAUGUUAAUGUUCAUUUAAUGCAGGGGUGUCCAACACAACCAGUCGAUCGCAAAUGCAAUGCGGGUAGAUCGCCUAUAAGUUACAGUUUUUCUCAGUCGCUUUGGUACAUUUCUCGAAUCAUACUCACAAUUUGCAAAACAGUAAGUGCAUUUCUCACAACAAUUUGUACAAAUAGCAAAACAUCAUGUAUAACCUGCAAAAGCCACUCUCUUGCUCAAAAUACUUAGUUCAUCUCUCAAAAUUAAAUAUCUGUGUCAAUGAACAUGUCAGUGCCAUCAGAAUAACAAGUCAUUGUGUCAUUGUGUACGGAUAAGACAGUCAAAUUGUUUAGUCAUGUUGUCAAUAUAACAGUUUACUCUGAAGUGAUGUUCUGAUGUAAACUAUGGCUAAAGUUUUGACGACAAGUAUUGUAAAUUGUAAGUUACACUUAGUAUAAGUUAUGUGUGAGUUUGAUUGCAAGAGACUUGACAAAAUUUACAUUUACGCUUUUACUGUUUGUACUGUAAUUCGUUGAAAGACCAUGUCAUUGACAUAAAGAAAGAUAAAGACAGCACUGUAAGCACUGCAUAGCAUAAAGAGAAAACAAAAGUAGAAAUGUGAACAUGAUAGAUGUCUAAAAGAUGUCUAACCAUAGCCCAAGAAUAGAUGAUGCAUAUAAUUUUAGAACAUGUAAAAGAAAUGAAAGCAAACACCUUGAACACACUUUGCUUACAUGUUAGAAUAUCAUACAUCUUCAAGUUAUUUUGGCAAAAAUGGCAUGUAACCAAAUUCAAGGUUAUUUAGGGUAGAAGUGGGUUACUCAUAGCCGGACUAUAUUGGGUCAAUAGUUAGCAGUCAUUUCAACGUCUCGGUUUUUGCUUGCUGGGGACAUUUCUGUCUGUUAGAGAAAGUCAAGAUUCACCUGGGAGCAAUUUACCAAUUCAGGACAGAUUUAGAAAAAAUGUCUAAUGGAAAUGUAUAGAAAUAUGUUUGACCAUAUCCUGUAUUUUGACAACAUGUUCAACCAUUUUGCAUGUAAAGACUUAUACUAUGAACUAAUGCCUAAAUAUUGUGGGGGGUGAGACUAUUCAACAGAGACCCAUUAUAAUACAUUUUGAUCAACAUGAUAUAAGCAACUGAUAAUGUAGGAAAAAGCAGAGAAUUGUACAUAAUCAUUUGCAUGGAUGUACCAAAGCAUUUGCAACUUGUUCAAAGAAAUGAGAAACUGCUUUUUUGAUGUGCACAAGUGACACAAUGAUGUGAGAAUUGAACAAGCAGUUUUGAGAAUUUCAAUUCUGAUCUGAGAAAUGUACCAAAGCGACUGAGAAAAACUGUAAUAACUGUAUGCUGCUCCACGCCUCCACGAGCUUCGGAAAGCAAAGCGCCAAAUUGGCAUUAUGGUCUUAGAAGUCUUUUUGAGUUGUUGAGCAUUUCUUCUCAAGUGUGUUUUUAUAAAUCUUAUGCCUGCCCGCUGCAGCGGAGUCGUCUAACUUCCGAAAUUUGAAUGCACAUACAUGCUGGAGUUGAUCCACACGUACGGUGUAUGUGCGCGCGAUCGACCGACCGAACGAGAGAGAAAUGCUUCUGAUAAUGUUGUCAGUUUAUUUCAUCAAAACCGCAUCUCUGCUAUAUGGUCUCACCAUGUACUCAAGGAUUUUUUUUAACUAAAAAAAGUAGAUUGCCACACAAAAAAAGGCCGGACACCCCUGAUUUAAUGUUUAUGCUUAAAAAAGUGCAUAUAGCUGCUAAUUGUAUUUGUUGUUUGCUGAUUUUCAAAAAUAAAACUUGUUAAAAUUUUUCAGUGUGUGUAUCAGUUCUUUUUGAACACUUCCAUCUCAAUUUAAGAAAACCAUGAUAAUAUUGAUAACCGUGAUAACUUUGGUCACUAUAAUCAUGAUAUGAAAUUUUCAAACCAUCCCAUCCCUAAUUGCAAAGAGCAUAUGCAGUGAAACAUACAUAUUCAGUGUCUUGUACUCGGUUACCUCACUAAAUACAGUAAUGUGUAACUUUAUUGUAUUUUUCAAAUAGCUGUGGAAAAGUGUAUAGUCUUGAGUAUUUUCAGGUAGUGUCACCAAGAUUUUACUUUUUUGCAUUGGAAAACAUUUAUAAAGUAAACUGUCAUAAUGAAAACAUGACUAAGCCACUUGACUAUCUUGUUCAUAAACAAUGGUGUCAGGACUUUUCAUUUUGAUGACACUGACACUUUCAUUGACAUGAAUACUUGCUUUUGAGGAAUGUCCUAUCCAUUUUGAGCAAGUGACACACUUUUGCAGGUUAUCAACUAGGUUUUGCAGUUUGUACUAAUUGUUUUGAGAACUGCAUUAACUGUUGUGCAAAUGUAAAUAGUGAUGUGAGAAAUGCACCAAAGCGACUGGGAAAAACUGUAAGUUGGGCAUUCGCUACCCCGUAUUGUUUCAACUGGAGGAGGUUUGCGUGGUUGUAUGGUACAUUUGUGGUCGUGUGCAUGAGUUAAGGUGUGUGUGACUUAUAGCGUGUGUAUAGUGUGAGAAUGACAUGUCGUUUAAUGUGCGUGCAUGAAUUAUAGAGGGUGUGCGUGUGGUAAAUAGAUUAUGGUUUAAGUGAGGAAUGAGUGCUAGUUUGUUUACUUUAUUUUGUAUUUGUUAUAAACUAUGAUGUGAUUUAUUUAGUUUUCUUUGUUUAUUUGAUUUAAUAUUGGUUUCACAAGUGUGUUUAUUUGGUUAUUUUGUGGAGCUGUGGUAUUUUAUUCAACUGUUAGGUCGGUCAGGGAGGAGUGUAAACCUCAAUUUAUUUUUUUGUAAUUGUUCACUGAGUAGUUUGUGUAACUUUGUUUCUUUGAAACACGUGUGGUGAAGUGAGCCCAAAGAAACUUGUAUUUAAAGUGUGUUGUGAAGUGGAAAUUUGC